This 445-nucleotide ribosomal RNA is filed under the name uncultured bacterium. RNAcentral describes it as "bacterial SSU rRNA". It matches the Rfam family "Bacterial small subunit ribosomal RNA", at positions 354 to 796 of the family's 1533-position model. The record is from RNAcentral.
GUAAGGAAUAUUGGACAAUGGUCGCAAGACUGAUCCAGCCAUGCCGCGUGAAGGAUGACGGCCCUAUGGGUUGUAAACUUCUUUUGAACGGGAGAAAACCCCUCUACGUGUAGAGGGCUGAUAGUACCGUUAGAAUAAGGAUCGGCUAACUCCGUGCCAGCAGCCGCGGUAAUACGGAGGAUCCAAGCGUUAUCCGGAUUCAUUGGGUUUAAAGGGUGCGUAGGCGGAAUGAUAAGUCAGUGGUGAAAUCUCUUCGCUUAACGAAGAAACUGCCAUUGAUACUGUCAAUCUUGAGUACAUUUGAUGUGGGCGGAAUGUGUCAUGUAGCGGUGAAAUGCUUAGAUAUGACACAGAACACCGAUUGCGAAGGCAGCUCACAAAACUGUAACUGACGCUGAGGCACGAAAGCGUGGGUAUCAAACAGGAUUAGAUACCCGAGUAGUCC